UACAUGGGGUGCAAACGUUGCUCGGAAUUAUUGGGCGUAAAGCGCACGUAGGUGGUCUGUUAUGUCAGAUGUGAAAGCCCUCGGCUUAACUGAGGAAGUGCACCUGAAACUGGCAGGCUUGAGUACGAAAGAGGGUCGCGGAAUUCCCGGUGUAGAGGUGAAAUUCGUAGAUAUCGGGAGGAACACCGGUGGCGAAGGCGGCAUCCUGGACCAACACUGACGCUGAGUGAGCGAAAGCCAGGGGAGCAAACGGG
Molecule: ribosomal RNA, 254 nt
Filed under: uncultured bacterium
Lineage: Bacteria
Description: partial 16S ribosomal RNA
Rfam family: Bacterial small subunit ribosomal RNA
Source: RNAcentral